RNAcentral lists this ribosomal RNA (466 nucleotides) under uncultured bacterium. RNAcentral's name for it is "partial 16S ribosomal RNA". It matches the Rfam family "Bacterial small subunit ribosomal RNA", at positions 28 to 507 of the family's 1533-position model. The record is from RNAcentral.
GACGAACGCUGGCGGCGUGCUUAACACAUGCAAGUCGAACGGAAAGGCCCUGCUUGCAGGGUACUCGAGUGGCGAACGGGUGAGUAACACGUGGGUGAUCUGCCCUGCACUUCGGGAUAAGCUUGGGAAACUGGGUCUAAUACCGGAUAGGAGCCAUCUUUAGUGUGGUGGUUGGAAAGUUUUUUCGGUGUAGGAUGAGCUCGCGGCCUAUCAGCUUGUUGGUGGGGUAAUGGCCUACCAAGGCGGCGACGGGUAGCCGGCCUGAGAGGGUGUACGGCCACAUUGGGACUGAGAUACGGCCCAGACUCCUACGGGAGGCAGCAGUGGGGAAUAUUGCACAAUGGGCGCAAGCCUGAGGCAGCGACGCCGCGUGGGGGAUGAAGGCCUUCGGGUUGUAAACUCCUUUCGCUAGGGACGAAGCUUUUUUGUGACGGUACCUAGAUAAGAAGCACCGGCUAACUACGUG